Molecule: ribosomal RNA, 1194 nt
Filed under: Corynebacterium striatum
Lineage: Bacteria; Bacillati; Actinomycetota; Actinomycetes; Mycobacteriales; Corynebacteriaceae
Description: bacterial SSU rRNA
Rfam family: Bacterial small subunit ribosomal RNA
Source: RNAcentral
AUUGGGACUGAGAUACGGCCCAGACUCCUACGGGAGGCAGCAGUGGGGAAUAUUGCACAAUGGGCGGAAGCCUGAUGCAGCGACGCCGCGUGGGGGAUGAAGGCCUUCGGGUUGUAAACUCCUUUCGACAGGGACGAAGCGUAAGUGACGGUACCUGUAUAAGAAGCACCGGCUAACUACGUGCCAGCAGCCGCGGUAAUACGUAGGGUGCGAGCGUUGUCCGGAAUUACUGGGCGUAAAGAGCUCGUAGGUGGUUUGUCGCGUCGUCUGUGAAAUUCCGGGGCUUAACUCCGGGCGUGCAGGCGAUACGGGCUGACUUGAGUGCUGUAGGGGAGACUGGAAUUCCUGGUGUAGCGGUGAAAUGCGCAGAUAUCAGGAGGAACACCGAUGGCGAAGGCAGGUCUCUGGGCAGUAACUGACGCUGAGGAGCGAAAGCAUGGGUAGCGAACAGGAUUAGAUACCCUGGUAGUCCAUGCCGUAAACGGUGGGCGCUAGGUGUAGGGGGCUUCCACGUCUUCUGUGCCGUAGCUAACGCAUUAAGCGCCCCGCCUGGGGAGUACGGCCGCAAGGCUAAAACUCAAAGGAAUUGACGGGGGCCCGCACAAGCGGCGGAGCAUGUGGAUUAAUUCGAUGCAACGCGAAGAACCUUACCUGGGCUUGACAUAUACAAGACAGGCGUAGAGAUACGUCCUCCCUUGUGGUUUGUAUACAGGUGGUGCAUGGUUGUCGUCAGCUCGUGUCGUGAGAUGUUGGGUUAAGUCCCGCAACGAGCGCAACCCUUGUCUUAUGUUGCCAGCAUUUGGUUGGGGACUCAUGAGAGACUGCCGGGGUCAACUCGGAGGAAGGUGGGGAUGACGUCAAAUCAUCAUGCCCCUUAUGUCCAGGGCUUCACACAUGCUACAAUGGUCGGUACAACGCGCAGCGACACUGUGAGGUGGAGCGAAUCGCUGAAAGCCGGCCUUAGUUCGGAUUGGGGUCUGCAACUCGACCCCAUGAAGUCGGAGUCGCUAGUAAUCGCAGAUCAGCAACGCUGCGGUGAAUACGUUCCCGGGCCUUGUACACACCGCCCGUCACGUCAUGAAAGUUGGUAACACCCGAAGCCAGUGGCUCAAACUCGUUAGGGAGCUGUCGAAGGUGGGAUCGGCGAUUGGGACGAAGUCGUAACAAGGUAGCCGUACCGGAAGGUGCGGCUGG